UGCAAUUCAUCUUCUUUGCUGCUGACAAUGGCUAUGUCCUGAAGAAAUCAUGAGUGCAAGGAUGACAGUCAGAACCACAGAAAGUCUGGUAACUCACGACGGAAUAAAGUAAGUAAUGAAGCAGUUGUUAAUAGGUUAUUGAUCUUUUAUACCGCAAAGCUUGGGUCAAAGAUUGCCCUAUAGUGCGGACUUCCUCCUGGGUAUAGCUUGUUGUCCUUCAUGUUGAAAACUCGGACUGGUGCUGACAUGCCAUCUCUUUUAAGACCAUGUCCCGCACCAAAGUUCCUUAUCAUCGCAUGCCCGUUCAUCUCUAUCAAGUAGGGAUGAUCGAGGGUAACAUAUUUCCUGUAAAAACAAGACAUAUUUCAGUCACUUCAUGAUGCCAUUCUAUAUUGUUGUGCAAUAAUUACAUGCUUUUUAUUCCACGAGGUUUUUGUUGGAUACGUGGGUUAGAAUACAGAACCUGCGUAGCUCAUGGGAUUUUCAUUUCUGUAUUGUAUCAUAUGUUGUGUAGACGUCAGAGACAUCAGGCUCAUCUACUGAUAACCUUUGAAAUGGUGCACGAGCAGGUUUGUGGGUUUUCUCUGAGGGUGAUCCGUCGGCUGCACUCCACAAAACUUGCAAAUUGUCAGGUAUAGAUGGGUCAUCAGUAUAUGCAUUUUUCUUGAGAAUUUCAUAGAGAUGCAAUGCACGAGUUUUUCUGAAGGUAGAUCAGUGAUUUUGUCUCAAGGU
This 732-nucleotide long non-coding RNA is filed under the name Triticum aestivum (bread wheat). RNAcentral's name for it is "long non-coding RNA (TAES_LNC025067)". Lineage: Eukaryota; Viridiplantae; Streptophyta; Magnoliopsida; Poales; Poaceae. The record is from RNAcentral.